Molecule: non-coding RNA, 471 nt
Organism: Cinara cedri
Lineage: Eukaryota; Metazoa; Arthropoda; Insecta; Hemiptera; Aphididae
Source: the annotation of a GenBank genome assembly
AAAAAAAAAAUAAAUAGUAUCAGAGAAUCGUAAGUUUGAAAAUUAGUUGAAUGAAAAAAUAUUUAAUUUGUGUGGGUACGUACAUAUUAGAAUCUCUUUGAUUAACACGACGGUGGUGGGGAAUUAUUGGAUCAAGACGCGGCGCGAUUUACUAAUUUUAAAAUAGUUGGAUGUGUACCGCUAUAUAAUGAAUAAUAAUUCAGUUUUGGGCAAAAUAAAUUGUCAAAAAUAUUAAAUAGACUGUAGUAUGGUGGCGUGUCCGGGAAUUUCCAAUGCGAGGGGAUGUGGUAAAUAAUAAUCAUGAAUCGCGAAUAAAUCAUAGAAACUUUUUCUGUUAUACCUAACCCGGCAAUGAAUCGGACCCAGAAAAGGCAAAUUUUCAUUUCAUAAAUCAAAGCUUUUUCCUCGAAACUUGACUAAAAUAUAUAAUUUCAAAAUAAAAUUACCAAAUAAAUACUUAUAGUUAUUAUA